This 502-nucleotide long non-coding RNA is filed under the name Mustela putorius furo (domestic ferret). RNAcentral's name for it is "lncRNA (ENSMPUG00000030278.1)". Lineage: Eukaryota; Metazoa; Chordata; Mammalia; Carnivora; Mustelidae. The record is from RNAcentral.
NNGGGUGGCGGAGGGCGGCGGAGGGGGGAGGUCUCUCUUCUGCAGGUUCCCUGAUCAUGUGUGGAGCGCUUCGUAGGACUCUGCUCCAGGGCCUGAAUGGGGCAAUGGCUGCCCAGGCACCCCAGAUCCAUACCAAAGCUGGGCAGGCUUUGCCAUCCCAUCUGCCUUGUUCCUCUUCUCUAUCCCUGCAGCAUAUGCAGCCUUACAGAUGAAUCAUCUCAGGAUAUUCACAGCAGAAGUUCCUAUGCAGAAUGCUGAGAGCUACAGGUUCAUGUCCUUCAGGGUCAAGGAACAGCCUUUGUCAAAAGAACGUCUAUCACCCCUUGACCAGAGGAGUGACCACACCUGGACAGAGAGGAUCUGGCGGCCGAGCCCUCCUUCCUUGUGACAGUGGCACCACUGGAAUCUUCCCGCUGAACUGUUAAUAAAGAGACAAGCUAUUUAAUCACUGUCCUGGCCUCCAGUGUGAAUGCUUUCUACUCAUGGACUUGGCUCUGGGGAC